AACGAACGCUGGCGGCAGGCCUAACACAUGCAAGUCGAGCGCCCCGCAAGGGGAGCGGCGGACGGGUGAGUAACGCGUGGGAACGUGCCUCUUGCUACGGAAUAGCCUCGGGAAACUGGGAGUAAUACCGUAUGUGCCCUACGGGGGAAAGAUUUAUCGGCAAGAGAUCGGCCCGCGUUGGAUUAGGUAGUUGGUGGGGUAAUGGCCUACCAAGCCGACGAUCCAUAGCUGGUUUGAGAGGAUGAUCAGCCACACUGGGACUGAGACACGGCCCAGACUCCUACGGGAGGCAGCAGUGGGGAAUCUUAGACAAUGGGCGCAAGCCUGAUCUAGCCAUGCCGCGUGAGCGAUGAAGGCCUUAGGGUUGUAAAGCUCUUUCAGUGGGGGAGAUAAUGACUGUACCCACAGAAGAAGCCCCGGCUAACUCCGUGCCAGCAGCCGCGGUAAU
This 448-nucleotide ribosomal RNA is filed under the name uncultured bacterium. Its description in RNAcentral is "bacterial SSU rRNA". It matches the Rfam family "Bacterial small subunit ribosomal RNA", at positions 29 to 524 of the family's 1533-position model. The record is from RNAcentral.